This 4625-nucleotide long non-coding RNA is filed under the name Homo sapiens (human). Its description in RNAcentral is "HSALNT0365157". The record is from RNAcentral. Lineage: Eukaryota; Metazoa; Chordata; Mammalia; Primates; Hominidae.
ACUACAGCCUUGACCUCCUGGGCCCAAGUGAUCCUCCUCCUGCCCCAGCCUUCUGGGUAGCUAGGACUGCAGGUAUGUGACAACAGUGCCCAGCUCCAAGGACUUUCUUUAGAGUACCCAUGACUGUGUGUGUGUCACAGGGUUCCCCUGGAGUGGGGAGUGGUGUUGGGGCUCCAGGCUCCCCUCCUUGACUUUAAACUAGAGCUCUCCACUUUUGACUUGUGCAGUGCUUCACACAUAAGCUUUCAUUGAAGAAAAUGGUUCUACUUUCAUUUGAAAACCAUGGACCUGUGGGAAGACGUCUAACCUCCCAACACAGCCUUUAUGUUCUUCCCAAAUGUAUAUUCCUCUGACCUUUCAAACUUUGUCUUCUAUUAAUAAAUUAUUGCUCUAGACCACCCCCCGGCCUUUCCCCAACACCCCAACACAUUCCUGUCUCCAAACCUCUGCUUGGCCUUUUCCUUCUGUCUAGCAGGUCUUUCUUUCCAAAUUUGCCUAAUUUCCACCCUUCCUCCAAAGCCGAAUUCAAUCCCAUCUUCAGACAUCCUUCCCGGCUCCCCUCUUGGAAUUCUCUCUUCUCCUUAUGAUGCGUGUGCAUUUAUUACAGCACCCAGGGUUGGGAUGACACUUUCUAACCAGAUGGCAAGGUCUCAGAAGCAGGCCUUCUGUGUCCCCCUCCCAAGGCCACGUGUUUUACGUAGGACAGACGUGUGCUGACCUGCUCUGAAAGCAGUUUCCCAGAGAAGGCCAGGAGCCCUUAUAACCUGAGACUUAGACAAGUGCCUCUGCAGGGACUCACUCCGUAAUCUUCUGCAUUCUGCCUUCUCCCAAUAACCUUGAUGGCCUUGAUCCUAGAUCCUAUCUUGAGUGCUCUCCCUCUAUUGGGAGCUAUUUCCAAUACCGUCACUGAGCACACCCACUUGACUAAUACUGGAAUUCAGCAGUCUUCACGCAGAGCCAAGCCGUUCAGACAGGGAGGAGAGAAGCAGGGCCUGGGGCGGUCAGCAGGGCUGGACUCCACCUACCUUGGCCGUGCCUGGGUGAGGGCUUAGGUCCAGCCAGCCUGUCUGACCCAGAAAGCCCUGGGUUUCUGGGCUUGUCCUCCACACAAGUUCUUGCCCUUCAAAGAUUCCAGACUGACUGAGUUAUUGCUCAUCUAAAGUCAAUGCAGUGGGACAUCUCCCUAGGGCUCCCAUCUCCUGAGAACCAGAUUUAGAGGGGGCUUGGGAGGGGCCUGUGUCUUCCUCCUUGCCAAGAGGUAUUUGUCUGGCAGCGUUCAGAGAGGGUAAGAUGGGAGGAAGCUGGUUUGAGGGGUGCUGGGAAUUGACAGCACAUCUCAGCAGGAGGUGUCAAACAGACGUUUUGGGGGUUCGGGAGUGGCACAUGUUAAAGCCACUUCCCACACAUAGGAGUUCUAGCUCCCCCAAUCUCCCCCAAACUAUGGAGAGAGGCAAUAAAGCAAGGUUGGCUCCGGCCUCAUGGGAAAUUGAGGAAUCAGGAAUCCUGAAUACCAUGGGGCAUGUGCUGCUGAAGGAAGCCCUCCAAUCCCAUGCCCAGAGGGAGCACAGGGCAGACCAUUUGCGUGAGCGGUGUGCCCAUUCUUUGACAUGAAAAGCUUCUGAAACCUGAGGCCCUCGUGCACACACACACUCUUGACAGCAACAUGCACCUUGCAUAGACACAGGUGCCAAGAUGGGCCACACCAGCAUGUGGCCUAGACAGGCACCCAGCAGACAACAGCCUGGUCAUGGGCCAGGGUCACAUGCCCCAAAGAAGGCAAGAAACACAAUGACCAGAAUGAGGCUGAGAGUGGAGCUAGAAUCUAGUUAGAAAAUUGCUGUGAGCACUGGGGAGGAGCAGGGGCUGUAACAGUGUCCAGUAUUGAGGGGCUUAGCGGGAGGUGGGGGGUGUAAGGAGAUGCAAAGUGCUUGGCCUGUGGUAGGGCCCAAAAUGUUACUCUUCUCCUUCCCUCCACUGUAGGAUGCAGGCUCCUCCCUGGAUAAUUAAGUCUCCAAGCCCCACCUGACUUCUCCAAAUAAUGAGGCUGCCCCACUGCCCAGCACUGGCCAGCAUGGAGCUCAGCUCACAUUUGCUAAUGGGGAUUCUAUGUCAGCAGGUGCAUUGGGCAGGGGUGCCUAGCAUGCCUCAGGGAUCUAUCCUGGGUCCCCUCCUCUUCAGCACUCUCAGCCCAGCUUUGGGGGCACUCUCAGGCAACACAGAGUUCUUUACAAGCUGGAACCAUGGGUCCAACCUAACCAGAUGAAAUUGCAUGGGGAAAAAUAUACAAGCCAGGACUCAGGUUUAAAACAUUACCCGUCCAGGGAUAAGUUAGGGAGGACCAGGUAACAACAGUUCGUCAGAAAGACUUGGGAGUUUGUCACCUACAAGCUUAAGAUGAGUCACGGGAGUGACGUGGCCAGCCGAAGGGCCACUGUUACCUUCAUCUAGGUGAACAGAGGCUUGUAAGUGGGCAGCUGACACCAGCCCAGUUUGGUUGGUCUGGACAAGGAUGACCACUUUGUUGAGGGGCUUGGAAAACCCUGCCCAUAGAGGAAAUUUUCAGGUACUAGGGGUGUAGUGUCUGGGACAGAGAAGACUUGAGUCCCUGAGGGCUGAUGUCAAGGCUUGGAAAGAAGCUCCAUGGGCAAGAGGGCAGCAAUGGACUCUUGCUAUGAGCUUCCAGGGGGCAGUCUAGAAGGACUGGGCAGAAGCUGAGGGGGUAGCGUUUCAGUCAAAGGAGGGAGAACUUUCUAACAGACAGAACUGUCCAGCAAUGAGAUGGUACCUUUAGGAAGGAGAGGAACGUUUGAGCCCAAGUGUGUGGGAAGAGAUUCCUGCCCUGGGAAGAAGGAGGCUGGACUCUGCCUUCAAAUGCCCCUCGCUCCCACUCCCAGAUUCUCUGUCUGUCCUGCCCUGCCUGGGGCUGAGCUGGUUCUCAGCAUGAUCUCCGUCUAGCUCAGUAGCCGGAGACUUGGUAUUUCUAGUCCAUUCUGCCGCCAGUGAAUGCCCCAGCCUGACCUUGCUUCUCAGCCCCAAGGAGGGGGCAGGGCUGCCUGCAUGCGUGGCUUACUCAGGCCGAACCCCAGGACUCCAAGGCCUGAGUCAUGCUGGCCGCGGGAGGUGUCUGCACACAGACGCCAGUCAUUGCUCUGGCCAGGGGGGAGCACACAAGCUCCAUAUCCUUUUAUGUCCCUGUGUGGAUAUUCCCAGCCGAGAGUCAGGAGCUGUGAGUGGGGCUGGCCAGGGUAUCUGUCAUUCCAGCCUUCAGUGGCUUAAGGGGUGCAGGGGUCUGGAGAAAUGAGACUGGGCUGUGGGUGAGGGUGUAGGUCUGUACCCCUUACCCCGUCUUUCUUCAGGAGGCCCACAGCCCCUAAAGACCAUCUGAGACUCUGGCUUGCCAUUUGUCACAUCUCCCUUGCCGCACCCACAGCCUUCAGGGACAAGUCUGUGAGACUCCUCUUUCAUCUCUACCCACGGGUUUUGGCCAUCAGAAGCAGGUCCACAUAUGCGGCCACUGUUUCUGCCGUUCUGCUAGAGGAGUGGGAUCAGCUGCAGCCUGCGUCCCUGGGGAAAGCAAGAGUUCCUGACGGAGACUCUGCAGUUUGUAUGCCCGAACCCAUAUUCACUUUGACCCUGACCCAUCCUCAGCUUGGCCUUGGGGCUCUCCCUCAUCUCUGACCCUUCCAACUACACCCCAGUUGGGCCUCCUCUGCUGGGGUUCCUCUGGGACUUUUGACCUGGUUGCGGGGGGCGGGUGGAGAACCUCCCUUUCCCCUAGAUGAAGCCCAGAAACAGCCUGAGCUGGUUUUGGUUCCUCUUCUUCACACCUACAUGAUGAAAUGAGAUGGUCCACGUGGACGGGCUGUGUCGCCUGUGAUGCUCUGGUCACACUGAAGUCAUGAUGUGUGGUAAUUGUCUAUGGAGAGGGGUCAUAGAAAGCCAGGCUCUGGGGCUUGGACCAGCUUCACCGUGCGCUAUAGCAGCUUCCCCUCCCGGCUGGUGUGCAGGGUGGGGCUGGAGGUAUAGUUUAUGACCAGCCUCUGUGGAUGCCCCAGCCCAGGCCCUGGUUCUGUUGGAAGGAGGCUCUCAGAUCGAGGGUCGCAUAGACAGGGUCUGCUCUAGGUCUGCCAGGAUCGGCCUUUCCAGCAGGAUGGGUCCCUGGCAUACCCACCCCAGGACCUGGAAUCUUCUUGUUCCUGGUUCUUAGCCAUCUAAUUUUUGUUCUAUUUGGACCUUUCAUUGAUGAGAAUUAGCAGCCCGUCCCCACCCCCCAGCCCCUGCCUUAAAGAAGUGGACAUUUUAAGCGGCUCGAGUUGGUCUUCGAGUUCAAGAGGACAAAUGGAAUACAGAAUGACGAACCUGGCUUAUGGCCAGGAGCCCCCAGUUCCUUUUUUUUUUUUUUUUCUGGCAAGUUUGUGUAACCAAAAGGCCCCAGUUCUUAGCUCAACAUGAGAGUGUAAAACCCAGCGUUCAAGGAAUGUGAACCAAUACCUGGUAUGGGCAAGGACAAGGAGGAGAAUAGGAAGCAGAAGGAAUAGAAGGACCCAGACUAACUCCAGAGGAAAAUGGUGAGCUAAGACCUUUACUGCAUCACAAAUCAAUAAAUACUUAUUGAGAAGCUGCUA